GCUGCCUGGGUCGGCUGGGCCUGUGGGCCUGCGUCCGACAGCGCGCGGCCGUGCUUUCUAAGCGGGCUCGGCAGCACCAGACUUCACCGGCCCGGCGCGGGGCUCACAAGUGCUCGCACUCCCUGCGGCCGGCGCGCUGACCGGAGCCUCUGGGUCUCGCACGCAGCAGCUGCAGACGCUGCCCGGCGCGGUGGGGCUGUGAGCAAAACGGCCCGCCGGUGUGGUUGCCCAGACUGUGCUGGGCCCUCCUAGGUGGAUGGCCCUGCCCCAGCCUAACUUCUGUACCCCAGCAUAACCUCCAAAGUAACAGCCGUGCCCUGGGAGCCUGUUCAACACUGAACAUAUCCCACAAUAACACUGUUCCAGCGUCGCUGGUAAAAAGCAGAAAUGGCUUCGCUGGAGGCAUCGACAAAUCUAAUGCAGUAACCUCAUUUUACAGAAGAGAACUCUAAGAGGAUAACUAACUUGGCCAAGAUCACAUGAUGUUUCUGGAUGAGAUUAGCAUUCAAAUUCGUGGACUCAUUAAAGUAGAUGGCUCUCUCCAAUAUGGGUGGGCAUCAUCCAAUCUGUUGAAGGCGUGAAGAGAACAAGAGAAGGAGGAAGGAAGAAUUCACCUUUUUUCUUGCUGCCCACCUGCUUGGGCUGGGACAUUGCAUCUCACCUUCUCCAGCCUUUGGAUGAGGAUUUACACCCUGGUUCUCAGGCCUUCAGGCUCUAACUGGAGCUACACUAUCAACUUUCCUGGGCCUCCAGAUUGCAGAUGGUGGAUCACGGUACUUUUUAGCCUCCAUCAUAAUAUGAGAAAAAAGAGGCACAGUGAAGCUAAAUAUAUUGGCUAAAGAUCACAAAGCUAAGAAGAUUAUCAAGGUUAUCUGUGCUCAAUGUGUGCAUCUCAGAUCAGCAGCAUCAGCAUCACCUGGGAGCUUGUUAGAGCUGGAGACUCUCAGGCUCCACGGCAGACUUCCUGAAUCAGAAGCUACAAUUUAACAGGAUCCUCGGGUGAUCUGAAAAUGCAAUAAAGUUUGGGAAGCACUGCUGUUGGUCAUUAGACAAUCUAAUGAACUAAGACUUUUGCCGAGCAUCUGAGUUGAAAUUUUUCAAGAUGAAAAGUUGCUAAAGAAAGAGAAAGGGAAGCGGUUUGCUCCAGUAUUCCUCUUUCCACCUUCCCACUGACUGGGAAGCGGCGGUUAGCAGAGCCACAGUCUUGGAUUAGAGAUAAGAGGGACAUGUUGAGGAAGGUGGAGUCUCCCCCACAGCCCUGGACCAGUACGGAAUCCCUGUAUUCUAGGAUUUGGCAAGCUGUCCACUGAAACAUUAUUUUUCCCAGCCUUCUUUGCAGAGAAAUUAGUUGAUAACGUCUUCCAGGAGACCUACGGCCAUCCUACUGAUAUGAACCAGAUCAUACCUGCCCUGAUGGGAUGCCAGAGAAAGACUGCUGCAAGGGAUCCUCUGGAAACAGAACAGAGGGAAGAAGAUACCUUCCCUGAAGCCCAGAUGUUCCAGAAGCCUGCGCCUCAUUCACAAAGUCACCCCAAAAAUGCCCUAGAGUUUGGAGUUUUGAAGAAGCGGGAAGAAGGCCUGAGUAAGGGCCUGGGAACCAAGUUAGAUCCUACUUCAGCAUCAGCACAUGCCAGCGAUGGUGCACACAGGUGGAGAGCGGCCUGCCCGUCUUUUCCAUGGUGCCCACAGACCCAUUUAGGAUGAAAGAUCAGAAAAUUCUCUCCAUGUCACCGCUUCUGAAACAUGUGAAUAUUAAUAUUUGGUGCCUAAAAGGCCAUGGCAAAUUUUCAUUGGUUUUAUCUUAUUCAUGAUUAUAGAGUUGAAAGAAUACAUAUUCCCAUGGGGAUCAAUGAAGACAUUCUCAUUUUGAAUGAAGUAGAAUAUAAGUUGUAAAGAUAUAGAAUUUUCCUGAACUGAACCUUGAACCAAAAAUCCCCUCAAUUAACCUGGAACUAAACACAGUCCCUGAAGAUAACAAGGAGUUUCAGGAUGCCACAGGGCUGUCUGUGCAGUAUGGGGCUUCUUGCUCUAUCUCUGGUAUCUGAGGCAGAUAGGCUACUCAGGCCCCUCUCUGGUCUCAAGGUGGGCUGGCUGAGAUGUCAGUUUCUUCCUCAGUGACAGCUUGGGUACAGUAUGUGUAAACUGAUUGUCAGCUGAGCUGAAGGGACUCUGCCCAUAUUGGAGUGUUCUACAAGAAGAGGUGUCAAACCUAAAGGUCUAAAAUUACUAUGAAAGGAGUAUUGGAAACCACUGGGACAAUUGUGAUCACAACUGGUGGUAGCCUUCUCGUUUGGGUGAGAAAGACAGAAAGGAGGAAGAUGUGUUAGUCAAGGUUCUCUAGAGGGACAAAACUAAUAGGAUAUAUGUAUAUAUGAGAGGGAGUUUAUUAAGGAGAAUUGACUCACUUGAUCACAAGGUAAAGUCCCAAGAUAGGCUGUCUGCAAGUUGAGGAGCAAGGAAGUCAUUGGUGGAUUGUUCUGGGUACCAAAACCUCAAAAGUAGGGAAAUCGACAGUGCAGCCUUCAGUCUGUGGUCAAAGGCUCGAGGGGCCCUGGCAGACCACUGGUGUAAGUCCAAGAGUCCCAGAAGCUGAAGAACUUGGAGUCUGAUGUUUGAGGGCAGGAAGCAUCCAGCACAGGAGAAAGACGGAUGCUGGAAGACUUAGCAAGUCUGUUCUUUCCAAUUUCUUCUGCCUGCUUUUAUUCUAGCCAUGCUGGCAGCUGAUUAGAUGGUGCCCUCCCAAAUUGAGGGUGGCUGUGCCUCUCCCAGUCCACUGACUCAAAUGUUAAUCUCCUUUGGCAACACCCUCACAGACACACCCAGGAACAAUACUUUGCAUCCUUCAUUCCAAUCAAGUUGACACUCAAUAUUAACCAUCACAGAAGGAGAAUUUCAGGCUGAGUCCAAACACUAUGGCCCCAGCCCCAGCUUCCCCUUUCUGGGUUGAAUAACCAGACUGAGCCUAAGAAAAGGAAAAGAGUUGACUUUCUCCCAAAAGGCCUGCAGCGGGUUAGAAAGCAAUGGUUUGGGGACCAUACUGAGUGCCUAGGAUGCUCUGGACCACAAAGCUUGAAGUCAAAUUGUUCAUGCACUUGUUUCAUGAUAGGAAGAGAGAGAGAGAGAGAGAGAGAGAGAGAGAAAUUUCCUUUCCUUGAAGAAUGGCAAAACACGUCUCUUGUUCUGGGGGCUAUAUCUUGAAGGGUAUCUGAUCUCCCCCUCAUGGGAGGAACUAGAAUGCCCUAAGGCAGCCGUGGCUCCUGGAGCUGAGAGAUCUUUCUGACACUUUGUGAGAGCUGCAAGGCUAAGUCUGGAGCCAGAAAAGUCCAUGUGGACAAGUGCAGAGCAAGCAGAUCUGAGACACAUGUGGGAGCAAGCUGGACAUGUCCAAAAGUCAGAGGAAGCAAGAGCAGACAUGCAUGAGCAGGCAGAUGAGGCUGGUGCCCAGGCAGCAGGCUGAGGCUCUGGCUGGGCUUUGGAUGCUCCUGAGAGUCCAGUUAGAGACCAGUGAGCAAACCCACAGUGAACUCUUAUUCCUCACGCAGCAGGACGAGGGAUUAAGCACAAAGCCUUAAAGGUCUGAGUGUCUCUUUAUCCUGACCUCAGGAAAGAGAGGCAAGUAUCAUGUUUCUAAAAGUCUGAGAAGUCUUCACAUGACAGCCUACACCAAAAGAACUCAAAUGCACAUCCACUGCAUACACGCAUGUGUGCACACAUAUACAUGUGUACACAUGCAUGCCCACACACAACCCUCUGGAAGAGGAAGUAAAGAGACUUUAUGUUUUCAGCCCCUCUUGAGGAAACUUAAACUAAGUCUUUCUGUGGGGUUAGUGGUGGAGACAGAGAGGGUCUGGGGUCACCGAGGCCGAGGUGGCUGGACCCAGAGGGUAGAGCUGAGGGGAUCCCCUGAGACUGGGAAGAUGGAGCAGAAGCAGAUGGCAGAUGGCAGCAGGUGAGAGCAGACUGGAUUUCUCCUAAAUCACCAGAUCCAGCCAACCUUUCUUUCCUUAGGGACACCUCUAGAUCCCAUUCCAAAUGAACUCUUUCUCUGACCUUUCACCUCAAUUCAGAAUUUGGGAAAUUUAGCCAUGAUCUUAGGAACACAGAGGCUUGAAACAAUCUUUUCUAACCACCCGUUUGUUCAGACUGUGUAAGUUCUGCUUCUGCAUCCAGUGUCAACACCCAAGAACCAUUUUAAAGGGGAGCCAUCCUUUGAAAUUAAACUUCUUUUAAUAAUAAAGACAGAUUUCAGGGUUGACAUAAAAGAUAGCCACAGUAAAGCCAAUCCUCCAGUGUAUAACAUUUUUCAAAGUUUCCUUCCUCUUCAUUGCUGGUGUUCAUGUACAGUCCAGAGUUAGUCUACAUUAAAUUAUAGAUUGUUUUCAGCAAUAAUGCAAACAUUUGGAAGCCUUCAAACUCUCUGAUAACUAACUUCUACAUUCUCUCUGCUAUUAUUAUAUAGAAAGGGAAAUUUUACCUGAUGCUGUUAAAGUCCUCACGAACAUAGUGAUCCGAAUUGGCUGAAGUGGAAAACUAAAUGUUAGCUGAUUUUCAAAACAAGAUUUCCACUCUGAAUUCCCAUUUUUCACAUGUGAUCAUAUGCCUUGUUGUGAAGUUGAACUAAAAAGAAACUCCAUGCCCACUGGCUUAAUGCUAGAAGAUAAUCUACAGCAUAGUAAUUUCUUAGACUUCACUUUAUUAGCCACUAAACUUGGAAUGAUUAUUUCUAUGUUCAAUUAUUAAGUCUAUAUCUCCAUUUCUUAAAAAGGUCUGAGGCAGCCCCUUUGAAUAUUAAUACGCAUUUAUUUUCACCUCUCAAAUAAAAAAAUAGUUCACAGUG
This 4837-nucleotide long non-coding RNA is filed under the name Homo sapiens (human). RNAcentral describes it as "TNPO1 divergent transcript, transcript variant 3 (TNPO1-DT)". Lineage: Eukaryota; Metazoa; Chordata; Mammalia; Primates; Hominidae. The record is from RNAcentral.